This 146-nucleotide unclassified non-coding RNA is filed under the name uncultured Leotiomycetes. RNAcentral describes it as "sequence contains ITS2". Lineage: Eukaryota; Fungi; Ascomycota; Leotiomycetes. The record is from RNAcentral.
CAAACCUUCAAGCUCAGCUUGGUAUUGGGUGUCACCUGGCUGGUGCAUCUUAAAAUCAGUGGCAGCAUCAUCUAGCUCCAAGUGCAGUAAUUCUCUCACUUUAGAAGUUUAGGUGUAUUCUUGCCAUCAACCCCUAGUUUUUCAAA